Molecule: long non-coding RNA, 247 nt
Filed under: Elaeis guineensis (African oil palm)
Lineage: Eukaryota; Viridiplantae; Streptophyta; Magnoliopsida; Arecales; Arecaceae
Description: long non-coding RNA (EGUI_LNC042936)
Source: RNAcentral
GCGAAGUUUGUUAUCCAUCUUCUUCGACCUUUUUGUUAAAUGACAAACUCUCUUCCUCAAAUGUUGGAUCGUGGACUUCAGUGGAACUCUCUGUGGCAAGGGAAGCACUUCGGCAGGACACUGCCAUCGGGGGACAAAAGCGUCAAGGCGUGACUCAUUGCAGAAAGAAAAAAGAAAAGAGUAGAGAAACCUCCCAUAAGGAGAAACCCAAUUUUAUUGAUUGAAUAUUUCUUAAAGACAAAAGGGA